This 1543-nucleotide ribosomal RNA is filed under the name Escherichia coli. RNAcentral's name for it is "bacterial SSU rRNA". It matches the Rfam family "Bacterial small subunit ribosomal RNA". The record is from RNAcentral. Lineage: Bacteria; Pseudomonadati; Pseudomonadota; Gammaproteobacteria; Enterobacterales; Enterobacteriaceae.
AAAUUGAAGAGUUUGAUCAUGGCUCAGAUUGAACGCUGGCGGCAGGCCUAACACAUGCAAGUCGAACGGUAACAGGAAACAGCUUGCUGUUUCGCUGACGAGUGGCGGACGGGUGAGUAAUGUCUGGGAAACUGCCUGAUGGAGGGGGAUAACUACUGGAAACGGUAGCUAAUACCGCAUAACGUCGCAAGACCAAAGAGGGGGACCUUCGGGCCUCUUGCCAUCGGAUGUGCCCAGAUGGGAUUAGCUUGUUGGUGGGGUAACGGCUCACCAAGGCGACGAUCCCUAGCUGGUCUGAGAGGAUGACCAGCCACACUGGAACUGAGACACGGUCCAGACUCCUACGGGAGGCAGCAGUGGGGAAUAUUGCACAAUGGGCGCAAGCCUGAUGCAGCCAUGCCGCGUGUAUGAAGAAGGCCUUCGGGUUGUAAAGUACUUUCAGCGGGGAGGAAGGGAGUAAAGUUAAUACCUUUGCUCAUUGACGUUACCCGCAGAAGAAGCACCGGCUAACUCCGUGCCAGCAGCCGCGGUAAUACGGAGGGUGCAAGCGUUAAUCGGAAUUACUGGGCGUAAAGCGCACGCAGGCGGUUUGUUAAGUCAGAUGUGAAAUCCCCGGGCUCAACCUGGGAACUGCAUCUGAUACUGGCAAGCUUGAGUCUCGUAGAGGGGGGGUAGAAUUCCAGGUGUAGCGGUGAAAUGCGUAGAGAUCUGGAGGAAUACCGGUGGCGAAGGCGGCCCCCUGGACGAAGACUGACGCUCAGGUGCGAAAGCGUGGGGAGCAAACAGGAUUAGAUACCCUGGUAGUCCACGCCGUAAACGAUGUCGACUUGGAGGUUGUGCCCUUGAGGCGUGGCUUCCGGAGCUAACGCGUUAAGUCGACCGCCUGGGGAGUACGGCCGCAAGGUUAAAACUCAAAUGAAUUGACGGGGGCCCGCACAAGCGGUGGAGCAUGUGGUUUAAUUCGAUGCAACGCGAAGAACCUUACCUGGUCUUGACAUCCACGGAAGUUUUCAGAGAUGAGAAUGUGCCUUCGGGAACCGUGAGACAGGUGCUGCAUGGCUGUCGUCAGCUCGUGUUGUGAAAUGUUGGGUUAAGUCCCGCAACGAGCGCAACCCUUAUCCUUUGUUGCCAGCGGUCCGGCCGGGAACUCAAAGGAGACUGCCAGUGAUAAACUGGAGGAAGGUGGGGAUGACGUCAAGUCAUCAUGGCCCUUACGACCAGGGCUACACACGUGCUACAAUGGCGCAUACAAAGAGAAGCGACCUCGCGAGAGCAAGCGGACCUCAUAAAGUGCGUCGUAGUCCGGAUUGGAGUCUGCAACUCGACUCCAUGAAGUCGGAAUCGCUAGUAAUCGUGGAUCAGAAUGCCACGGUGAAUACGUUCCCGGGCCUUGUACACACCGCCCGUCACACCAUGGGAGUGGGUUGCAAAAGAAGUAGGUAGCUUAACCUUCGGGAGGGCGCUUACCACUUUGUGAUUCAUGACUGGGGUGAAGUCGUAACAAGGUAACCGUAGGGGAACCUGCGGUUGGAUCACCUCCUUA